Molecule: transfer RNA, 67 nt
Filed under: Chloroflexota bacterium
Lineage: Bacteria; Bacillati; Chloroflexota
Description: Chloroflexi bacterium tRNA-Ser
Source: RNAcentral
GACGACCAGAACGGCAACACGACUCAUAAUCGUGUUGUCGGUGGUUCGAACCCACCCGCCGCCACCA